Molecule: long non-coding RNA, 681 nt
Organism: Ricinus communis (castor bean)
Lineage: Eukaryota; Viridiplantae; Streptophyta; Magnoliopsida; Malpighiales; Euphorbiaceae
Exons: 2
Source: RefSeq, a predicted model, not a curated record
UCUUCAGUCAAAAGGAAUCAUUAUUAAAGCGAAAAAAUGAGAAACGAAAUGAAAUCAAAAUCACAUGUGGGUAGACACCGUACCAGAGCAUCUCAUCUCAUCCUUAAAAGCAUAAACGAAGAAAGGCUUUGGCAAAGUUAUGGGUGCUGCUGCUACUUUAUUAUAUUUGACCGUAGAAAAAAGGAAUUCAAGAACCAGCCAAAGCAGCACCACCAGCAACAGGCAACAGCAGUGGCGCCCUUGUCAAAAUGUCAAUUGCCUAAUCAUGUUGCUGGGGAAAACUAUUUUCGGUUUUUUUUCACUUGGUAUGGUAAUGCCCACAAGAUCUCACCAUAUACCAUCCAUUGUUUAACCAAUCAUGCAAGCUACCAUACAGUGAGCAAAAAGGGUCUAAACUCUAAAGCGCAAAGGCCCAGAUUAAUUAAUUGCGUGGUCCGAGUUGGUUUGGUUAAGCAUUUUAAAACAGGAAGGAGACAACGUUGGGCCUCCAGUUAUGGCGAGUGCCACUUGCUUGCACACCGAAUCCCCGUGUAUGGCUACAGCUUCUGAAGCGAGUUCAGGACAAUUGGGAUGGUUAAUUAUUAAAAUAUCAUAGGAGUUGAAAUUUGAAAGUGACCUCAUUUUCCUUUUCAGUUAUUGUUCCCAUUUUGCAAGUCAAAAUCCAUACCAAUUGCAUUUGCA